GGGUUCAUAACUCAGCGGUAGAGUGUUGCAUUCACAUUGCAAAAGUCCCAGGUUCGAAUCCUGGUGGGCCCA
This 72-nucleotide transfer RNA is filed under the name Patescibacteria group bacterium. RNAcentral describes it as "tRNA-Val". It matches the Rfam family "tRNA". From Rfam's summary of the family: Transfer RNA (tRNA) molecules are approximately 80 nucleotides in length. Their secondary structure includes four short double-helical elements and three loops (D, anti-codon, and T loops). The record is from RNAcentral.